UCCCAACACUUCACUAUAUCAUUGAGCCAAAACAGCAUUUACAAAACUCUUUGUAAACCUAAGGAUUACCUCUAAUCCCGUUGUGGCAACCAGCUCCUAAACAACUUCAAGUUAACUCUAACUUGAAUACAAUACUCAGAGUACCUAGUACAAUUGCUUCUAAAUAAAGCUGAAAGGUACAAUUUGAAAACACAUACUAUAAUGAAACUAGAAUAAAAGACAGACACUUGGAACUGGUUCUUCUAUCUGGUUCAUGUAGCUUCAGGUUCGUACACUUGAAUCACACAAAAAUUAUUUGCAAAAUGUCAUUUUAUUUAGCUCUCAAAUCACGUUUAACUUCAGUGUUUGUGCAUCCUAUAAAAUGAGAACAACCUGCAAUUUAUAGAGUUAGUAGAAUAGGAAAUAACUAGAGUUCUAAUGCUAUACUCUUCCUUGGUGGAAGAGUUCUAGUUAUCUUCAACUUCUAACUCCUCCCUUAUCUAGGAUAAAGUUCUCUCGAGUAAGGAGUCCUUCUCAUUAUCAAUUAUGCAACAUUUUCGUUCAGGAGAUGUCAGAUAUAAUUACUUAAGCUUAUCUCCUUCAUGUGCAUGCCUUGUGCCCGAAUUCUGCCCGUGUCUGUGUACACUGUGUAUGGACCUGGUUCAUGCUUGAGUUCUUUUGUCAAUCAUCAAAACAAACUUCACUUGGGCCAACAAAUUUCCCUUUUUUGAUGAUGACAAACUGUGUGCUUUUCAUAAACAUAAGCCAUGUUUCAACUUAGCUCAACAUCAACGCAAAUAUGCAAUGUUGGAACACUUUCCAUUUUAAAGUUAUACAUCAUCAAGGACCAUGUUCAUUAGGUUAUAAACAUCACAAUCCAAAGUAAAAUACACAAACUAUCUUCCCCCCAUUUGGCAUCAUCAAAAAGUUGUAUAAUUAUGUUAGAUAACCAGAUUUUACUAGAUAUUGCUCAUGGCCACUGAGGCUACUUCAAAUGCAAUCAUGGAGUCAAUCAUCAUAUAUCAAUCUAAUGAUAUUAGUUAUCUAAGAAGCAUCAACAAAUAAUUAGAGCACAAAAAUAAUUGAUUAACAUUGAUACUAGUCAUCCACAAAGCAUAAAGAAAAAUAAAGAUACUUGAUCAUGAGCAAAAAGAACAAAACAAAAUCCCAUCCGGGUCACUGGUUUGUCUAACUAGGCUAGGAAGGUUUCAAGGUUGGGAAGGAUCAGGUUCUUGGUUUCUGGCGUGAAGUAGUUCCAGCGUAUCAUGAAGAAUGCCAUCAUUCUUCUCCUUCUCUUUUGCAAGCUUAUCCCCGAGAGCAUCCUUCUCAGUUUCUAAUUCAGCUAGCCUCUUCUUCAGCCUCUCAAUCUCAGCAUCCUUGGCCCCAUUCUCUUGCACCAAAGCACGCACUUUUCUGUUCACAGGUACCUUCUUGGAUGAACCAGGUUCUUUGGGAGUGGUGUGGACUUCAUAGUCACAUGCAGUCAAAGUGUUUGCCCCAAAGUGAUCCAUGCUUGUACCAACUUCCCAUUUCUUGAUGGGUUCCUUGAAGUGUGCAAGUACAGCAGUGAGAAUGAGACCAUAGGGUAUGGCAUGAGUUUUGGUGCCAGUCAGAUCUCUAUCAAGAAGUUGGAUGAUAAACCAAGGCGAAUUGAUUUGCCUUCUACUGUCCAAACAUUCCAUAAGGACCAGGUCCAUGAAUAUGGUAAUGUGCCUUCUCUCCUGCUUGGGCAGCACAACCUUGUUAAUAAAUUCAAACAGCGCUUUGUGGGGUGGCUUCAUCUCACUUUUGUAUAUAGCCUUGGGCUGAAACUCUUCUUCAUUAUCACCAAACUUCCUUAUAAUGGCAAGUGAUGUGGGAAGUUUUCUAGGCUUGGCCAUUUUAAAUUUUUGUAGUCAUUGUACCCUGCAGCAAGUACUCCGGAAUUUCUCCCAACUCUUUGUCAUCAAAGCUCACAGUCACCCCCUUUACCACACUGUGACUCUGCCAUUUUGAUCUCACAAUUUGCCAUGAACUCCACAAUCUCAGUUCUGGCAAGCUUUCCAUCCAUCUGAAGGACCAUGUCCUUCCAACCCUGUAGUUGUAGUUUUUCCAACAGCAUCAUCAUGUAUUUCUCCUCCAAGUCCCUAAGAAGUCUACCUUUCAAGAUGGCUCUUUUCCCAAACUUAAUCAUCAUGUCAUUCUCUGCGUCAGAUUCUUCUUCUUAUUCACUCUCUUCUUCCUUCACUACUUUCACUUUUCUAGACUUCAAGGCAGACCUGGUUUUUUUUGCCAAGGUAGAAGGUUCUGCUGACUUUGAUUUCGAAGGAGACUUCUUUUUGGAAGUCUUGAUUUACUCUGCUUUUGGAGUCACAACCUCCACCUCUUCUGCCUCCUCUUUAUCACAAAGGACCAGGUCCAUCUCCUCAAUUUCAACUGCCUCAACAUGCUUAACAACCUUCUUUUUUCCCUUUGCAACACCUAUUCUUUUACUUUCUUUCAAGGCCUUCUCAAGUUCAGCCUCACUCUGCUUCUUCUUACUCCUUGUAGCUCUUCCUCUUGUGGGAAGAGUCUCUACAGAUAUAGAAGAGGUAGUCUUUCUCUUCUUAUUUUCCCUAGCAAUUUCAGGGAUUUUAACUCCUGAACUCUUCUUCCUUUUUGGGUUAUAGUUGUUAGACAUGCGUUUCGGUAGAUCUCGAGGGGUUCCUGUCCUGAUGGAACAAGUUCAUGAACAUUCUUCUCAUGUCUAACCAACCCCUCAGCAGCUUUUCCAGACCCACAUCCCCCUUUUUCUCUUACACUUUCUUCUUCUCCAGUAGAUUCCUCACUCCGUACUACCAUUGCUCCUGUUUCUUCAGUCAAACCAACAGGAGUGGGUGAAGAUUCAACCACUUCUUUUCCCAUUACCCUCACAUUACCUUGAAGACCCUCACUCUCCUUUUCUUUUCUCUUUUUAUUUUUACUACCAAUGUCCCCAAACUCAGUGGUCUCAACCCCAGCCACAUUUCCUACCAAAACAAAUCUAUUUUCUAGAUUUGCAGCAACCUCAGAUAUUAUUUCACAUGUAAUUUUAGGGAUAGAUGUUACCUGCUCUAUUUCAGAAGAAACAGUUUUCUCCUCCUCAGUAGCAUUCUUGAAUGAUUCUUCAGAUUUUUGGGGUUCUUGGGCCUGGCUUGCUUUCAAUUUUUCAUCUAACUUCUUGGAUAAUUCACUCCCUACCACAGUCUUGCGAGCAAGUAUCUUGAAUCUUCCUUUCUUAUAGAGAGGUAUGGUUGAGGGUGUGGUUGAAAGUGUGGGUGUGAAUUCUUGGGGUAGUGAUGAGGGAUUUCCAGAUACGUUAGCCAUUGAUGAUUAGAGGAUGAGAGAAGAUGAGUAUAUAUGUGUUUAGAAGAUGAGAGAAGAUAGAGAGAAUUGUAUGGCGGCUGGAAAUUUAGAAGUGAAGAAACAACUAAUGCCUAAGCAAUAUAAAGCGGAAGAGUUUAAUUGGGUAACAACAGCUUUUUUAGAAGCUCAGAAGUCUAAUCAAACUGGGAGUCAGUUUGAAAAGACGUUGAAGACUCUCCCUAGAAUCUAGGCACUUAUUGCGUUUUGGGACUCUAUUUGGAUGAAACUAGUUCAUUUCGUAACGGAUAAGCUCAAAGAGGUUAGGAUUAAAUGGGACUCUCCUUUUGAUCAUAAUACAAAUAUAAUUAUUUCAAAAUAUGCAGAGUGGAGAGUACGUACCAUGUAAUCUUAAUGAAUCAAAUUCUUCACUGAGAAAUCUCUUGUGUAAGUCUGAAUUUUUCAAGAAAAUAAAGAUAAUAUCAUUAGAGAUUAAUGAGACAUUUUAGCACAUGGCACAAGAGUAUACAAGAGAAAGUAUGAGACUGAGCAAAAUCUAAUCUAAUUAUAUACAAAAAUUCACAAAUUUCCUAAUUAAAUUUUUUGAGUUAGAACUGGUCCCUUUUAAGUGAUCUUAAUCAUCCAUAAUUCUAACUUGUUCCUUUCAAAGUGAUCUCUACUUAGAGAUUUUGUGAAGAUGUCAACUAUUUGCUUGUCAGUAGCAUAAAAUUCCACAAUGAUCAAACCCUUUUCAUAGUUGUCCCUCAAAAAGUGAUGCCUAACAUCUAUGUGCUUAGUUCUUUUGUGAUGAACCGGGUUCUUGGUCAUACUAAUUACAUUAGUGUUAUCACAAAAGAUGGAAAUACAACCUACAUCAAUUUCAAAGUCCAUUAAUUGUUGUUUGAUCCACAACAAUUGAGCACAACAUGAGGCAGCAGCAACAUACUCAGCUUCGGCAGUAAAUAAUCCCACAGAAUUUUGCUUUUUGGUGGCCCAAGACACAAGACAUGAGCCAAGAAAGUGUGUCAUACCUGAGGUGCUCUUUUUAUCCACAAAAAAAUUGCAUAAUCAGUAUCAGCAUAUCCCACUAAGUUAAAAUUACUACCUUUUGGAUACCAUAGACAAAGAUCAGUGGUGCCUUUUAGGUAUCUCAAGAUCCUCUUGACAGCAGUCAAGUGAGACUCCUUUGGAUUUGCCUGAAAUCUAGCACAAAGGCCUACACUGAAAACAAUGUCAGGUCUGUUAGUAGUGAGAUAUAACAAAGAGCCAAUCACUCCCAUAUACAACUUCUGAUCAACAUAUGAACCAGGUUCAUCUACAUCCAAUUUUGUGGUUGUUGCUAUAGGAGUGUCAAUUUCUUUGAAAUCUUCCAUUUUAAACUUUUUAAGCAACUCUUUUACAUACUUUUGUUGAUGGAUCAUAGUUCUAUUGAAUUUUAUUUAAUUUGUAAGCCUAAAAGAAAUUAAGAUCACCCAUCAUACUCAUUUCAAAUUCACUUCCCAUUAGUUUAGUAAAUUCUUUACUUAACUUAUUAGUAGUUGCUCCAAAGAUUAUAUUAUUAACAUAUAUCUGAACUACCAAGAAAUCUUUACCUUUUUUCUUUCAAGAAUAAAUUAUUGUCAAUUUUACCUCUCUUGUAGCCUUGCUCAAGCAAGAAUUUUGAUAAUCUUUCAUACCAUGCUCUUGGAGCCUGCUUGAGCCCACAAAGUACCUUGUCAAGCUUGUACACAUGAUCUGGACAUUCCUUGCUUUCAAAGUCCGGAGAUUGCUUGACAAACACUUCUUCCUUUAGAUAGACAUUGAGGAAGGCACUCUUGACAUCCAUCUGAUGGAGAGUGAAUUUCAUGUAAGCAGCAAAGGCUAUAAGGAAUCUAAUUACUUCCAAUCUUACAACUGGAGCAAAGGUCUCAUUAUAGUAUAUGCCCUCCUCUUGACUAUAUCCUUGAACCACUGUCACACCCUUUUUCUAUCCCACAAAAGAUAAGUAUCAUGGAUUGUUGUGGGUUAAAAAGUUUUUUCAAUUAAAGUGACAGUUUUGAAGUAGGGAUUAUUUUAUUAUUCAGAGUCGCCACUUGGAAUUAAUUUUUGGGUGUUCCAAGUCACCUUUUAUUUGAAUCCCUAUUCAAAGAAAGAUUUGACUCUUUUCAUGUUGGUCUGCAAAAACAAAGUCCGGGUAAGGAAUUCUGUUGACCGGGGAGAAGGUGUAAGGCAUUCUCUCAAUCCCGUAGUUCUAGCAUGGUCGCUUUAUUGACUAAAACUUGGCUUGAAUUAAUUUUGGAUAAAAUAUAAUUUAUUUGAUUUUAAAGCUUUUCCUACGCCCGCUUUUAUUUAUUAAAAAAAUAUUUAAAGAAAAGAUUUGAAUAAUAUUAAAUUAUCCUAACCGCACCACGCAAGCGAAUGCGCGAUCGAGACGAAUUUUAUUAUUUAUUUUUUCUUCAUAAUUGCGCUACGCUAGCGAAUCCGCAAUUAUGGAGAUUAACUAAAUAAAAAUUAAUUAAAGCUAACAAAUAUGGUAUAAAAUUAAUGAAUUAAUUUAUUGAAAAGUUAAACAUCACGCUACGCAAGCGAAUCUGUGAAUGAAGAAGUUAAAGUGCGCCUAUUAGUUGCUUAGCGUUUAUGAAUGAAUUGUUUUCCUACGUUUGUUUGAAAUUGUUGUAGGGCUUAAUGUUAUAUGGACAGAAUAUCAUAAAGAUAUAGAGCUUUGGCUAAAUUGUUUAUAAAUUUACACUAAUAUUUGAUAAUUACCAACAAUCAUCCUACUAUUUAUAGAAAACUAGAAAUAUAUUCACUAACUGGGACCAAUUUGGGUACAAUCCAAGUGACUUACAUAUGAGGCAAACGAAAGAUUAAACAAGUUUUCAUAAUUAAAUAAAGAUUAUCCAUUACGUGGCCAUAAGUGGGAAUAAAGCCUUAAAUUAAAUGUUAAUCCAAAAUUAAGAAAAGAAAAACAAAAUACUCUUGACAAACACAUAAUGAAAACGGUCAGAAAAAUCAAAACAAGCAGACACCUUUUUGAUAUAACCACAUUUAAUUAGUAUUAAUGCCUUAGAGAAAGAAAUAUUUCAGUAAUAAGAUUAAAGAAAAUAGUAUUAAUAAAGUAGCAAGCAUACCAAACAAUGAUUACAUGACUUGAAAGUCGGAUCCAUACCUUGACAGCAAUGGAAACAAACUUAGAAGAGCCAAAUGAAGGCAUUAGUUGCAUACAGUGAGAUCAAGUUUCAGUUACGAAAAUGGAGAACAACAAAACGUUUCAACUGAGAUCGCUAACCAGGGCUCGGACAGCUACACCAACGAAGACUCGAACACAACCUCAAACUCCGUCCUCUUCUAAUUCAACAAAAAUGAAGACAAAAUUAUAGGCGUUGAAGAUGAAGAUGGUUUUUCAGAUCUGUUCCCAUCUCUCUCUAUUCCUAUCUCUCAUGGAUUUUAUUUUCUUUUUAACUCUUUUCCGUUUUCUAUUUCUCUUCCCCAGCUCUGUUAUUUUUCUUCCCCCUUUCGUGUAUGUUUGUGAGUGUAUGUGAGUAAGGUCAAAAUCUGGGGGUGGAGGAGGAAGAAGGUGAGAUAGGCGACUAGGUUGAAGAAGGAGAGGAAGAAGGUUGCUCCUCUCUUUUUUUUGGUGUAGAAGAGAGGUCCGUUUAUGGAGGAAGUUUGGUGUGUUUUAAUGGCUGUAGGGUAUAGGGUUUGUCUU
This 6967-nucleotide long non-coding RNA is filed under the name Nicotiana tabacum (common tobacco). Its description in RNAcentral is "long non-coding RNA (NTAB_LNC017398)". The record is from RNAcentral. Lineage: Eukaryota; Viridiplantae; Streptophyta; Magnoliopsida; Solanales; Solanaceae.